CCCUUAGAUGUUCUGGGCAGCACGCGCGCUACAAUGGUCUUCGCAAACGGAUGCAUUCUCGAAGGAGAAUGCCAAUCUUGGAAUCUAUGCCUUGGUCGGGACAGUUGCUUGCAAUUUUUCGACUCGAACCAGGAAUUCCUUGUAAUCGUGAUUCAUCACAUCACGAUGAAUACGUCCCUGCCCUUUGUACACACCGCCCGUCGCUCCUACCGAUCGAAGAGUUAGGUGAAUUGUUUUGAUCGAUAAGAUUUGACUAUGGUCAACUCUCGUUGUGAAAUUCUGUGAAUCUGACUGUUUAGAGGAAGGAAAAGUCGAAACA
This 319-nucleotide ribosomal RNA is filed under the name uncultured eukaryote. Its description in RNAcentral is "partial 18S ribosomal RNA". It matches the Rfam family "Eukaryotic small subunit ribosomal RNA", at positions 1470 to 1796 of the family's 1831-position model. The record is from RNAcentral.